UCGUGCCGUUUCUCUUCUUCAUCUUUCCGUCGACGUUCGACUAGGGCUGCGCAGCCCUUCAUCUCCGGUUCAGCAAGGCUGUCCAGUUGAUUUGUUAUCAUAUGGACUGAUAGUUUCCUUGAUGCCUUUGUGUCAAAGGGGUUAA
This is a non-coding RNA of Vicia faba (fava bean), 145 nucleotides long. Lineage: Eukaryota; Viridiplantae; Streptophyta; Magnoliopsida; Fabales; Fabaceae. The record is from the annotation of a GenBank genome assembly.